GAUGAACGCUGGCGGCGUGCCUAAUACAUGCAAGUCGAGCGAACAGACGAGAAGCUUGCUUCUCUGAUGUUAGCGGCGGACGGGUGAGUAACACGUGGAUAACCUACCUAUAAGACUGGGAUAACUUCGGGAAACCGGAGCUAAUACCGGAUAAUAUUUUGAACCGCAUGGUUCAAUAGUGAAAGACGGUUUUGCUGUCACUUAUAGAUGGAUCCGCGCUGCAUUAGCUAGUUGGUAAGGUAACGGCUUACCAAGGCAACGAUGCAUAGCCGACCUGAGAGGGUGAUCGGCCACACUGGAACUGAGACACGGUCCAGACUCCUACGGGAGGCAGCAGUAGGGAAUCUUCCGCAAUGGGCGAAAGCCUGACGGAGCAACGCCGCGUGAGUGAUGAAGGUCUUCGGAUCGUAAAACUCUGUUAUUAGGGAAGAACAAAUGUGUAAGUAACUAUGCACGUCUUGACGGUACCUAAUCAGAAAGCCACGGCUAACUACGUG
RNAcentral lists this ribosomal RNA (497 nucleotides) under uncultured bacterium. RNAcentral's name for it is "partial 16S ribosomal RNA". It matches the Rfam family "Bacterial small subunit ribosomal RNA", at positions 28 to 507 of the family's 1533-position model. The record is from RNAcentral.